AAGGAGUUGAGAAGGAGGCCGAGGGCGAGGUCGGCGACCCAGUCAGCGAGGAGGUAGCUGGACCAGACGACGAAGCGGAUGAGGCCGGAGGAGGAGUGUUGGGAAUCCGGUACUCGCCCCGGUACCGGAUCUCGUGAAUCCGCAACCCGCUCCGAUACCGACUGCUGUGGAUUCGGUACCGAUGGUUGGGAUUCCGCAACGAAAACGUCAAAUCGGGUUUUUACCAUAAACCCGUCUCCUCAGCAAAAGCUGAUACAAUCAUAAAAGAGAGAAAUACCAAAACAGAAAAUAUGCGGGUAAAAUAAGAUUCAUUAAAUAAGAGAAGAUUACACCUGACUCCUCUUCUGCACAGAGUAGCUACAAUCCGAGCCCUCUUUCUGAAUCUCUCCUACCCUUCUCUCAUCUUCUAUAAUUCCACAAAGAAGACAAUCAUCCACGCGCACCCGUGCACUAGGUGCACUCAACACAUUGGAUAACUCUCUCUCUCUCUUUUUCUCUCUCUCGGGUACGGCACCACACAAGCUCCUGCCGUACACCCUCACAGCUUCUCCAAAUUAAUUUACCCAAUGCAUUAUUUAUAAUGCUCCAACUAGAAUGUACCCAAUUCUAGUAUAUUUAGGAUUUCUACUUUAAUUAAUAUCUAAAUCUAUUUUAAUCAAUCUCUAAUAGAUUUAAAUAUUAAUCCUAAUCUAGUUAGGUUUAUCCUCUAAUUAAUAUUUAAAUCUUAAUUUAUCUCAAACAGAUUUAAAUAUUAAUUCUUAUCCAAAUAGGAUUUAACUACAAAUCUAACCAAAUCCUAACAUUCUCCACCUUGGUUUGAUUUGUAAUUUUCAGCCGCUACGUCGAGCUCACCAUGCAAGCUCCACCAUGCAAGCUCACCGUCUUCGCUCCCGUUCUGACUGUGCUCCCGUUCAAAACGUAUAAGUUCCCACGCUUGUUGGCUUCGCAUACGACCCGAUCUCAUUUUCGGACCCUCAUAGCUCCACCUGAAGCCGAAAUAUCGCAACCCUUCGAGUCCAAUGCGCCUAACGAGAUCAAAUUCCGCUUCAAUCCAGGAACGUGCCGCACACCUGUCAGCGUCCUCACGACCCCAUCGUGCAUUCGGAUUUUCACCAUGCCGACUCCCAAUACUUUGCACGCUGUCCCGUUCCCCAUCAGCGCCUUUCCACCUUUGAUCGCCUUAUAGGUGGCAAAAGACUCCUUCUCCUGGCAUACGUGAAAAGAACACGCCGAAUCGAGCACCAAUGCAUCGUCCGAAAUUUUCGCACCUCCGGUCGCCACAUACAGCACAUCAGAAUCGAUCAUCUCCGACUCUGCUGUCUGCGCCGUCGCUGAUACCGUCUCGUCCUGGUUCACGACAGUUUGCUCCUUCUGUCGCUUUAACUCCUUCAGAUCAUCCUGAAGUUUUCGACAAUUGCGCUUGAUAUGCCCCUUCCUGUGACAGUAAAAGCAUUCUACCUCAGAUAGCGGUUUCUUCUGUCGAUAUCCGGUCGCCGAUAUUCUCGCCUCCUUCUUCGCAGUCACCACCAGUCCUACAUCCUGACUUUGCGUGCCGGACUCCUGAGUCAUCUUCCGCAUCUCGUUCGAGAGAAGCGCCGCCGUGACCGCCUCCACGCUUAUGGACUCCUUGCCAUAAAGCAACGUGGUCACCAGAUGCUCAUAUGUCGUCGGUAGCGAAGAUAGUAGGAUCAACGCCUUGUCUUCGUCAUCCAGAUUGACUCCGAUGCUGGUCAACUGGGCCACCACCUUGUUGAACUCAUUUAGAUGAUCAUGUAGGCUCGCCGCUUCUUGCAUCCGCAACGUAAACAGUCGCUGCUUCAGAUACAAUCUGUUCGUCAGGGAUUUGGUCAUGUACAGAUCUUCCAAUUUCUUCCACAAUUUCGCCGGUGUCGUCUCGCCGGCUACAUUGUAAAGAACCUCAUCUGCUAAUGAUAGAUGAAGCGUACUCAGCGCCUUCCGCUCCAUCUUCGUCCAUGCCGCAUCCGUGACCUCCGCCGGCUUUGCCUCCUUCCCGUUCAACGUCUCGUCUAACUCUUGCUGUACGAGGAUUGCUCGUACUUUAAUUUGCCAUAAUCCGAAAUUGUUCUUGCCGUCGAACUUCUCGAUUUCGAAUUUCGUGGCCAUCUCCGUCGAUCUCUCCCGCAGAUCGGUAACCUUCGGCUCUGAUACCACUUGUUGGGAAUCCGGUACUCGCCCCGGUACCGGAUCUCGUGAAUCCGCAACCCGCUCCGAUACCGACUGCUGUGGAUCCGGUAUCGAUUGUUGGGAUUCCGCAACGGAAGCGUCAAAUCGGGUUUUUACCAUAAACCCGUCUCCUCAGCAAAAGCUGAUACAAUCAUAAAAGAGAGAAAUACCAAAACAGAAAAUAUGCGGGUAAAAUAAGAUUCAUUAAAUAAGAGAAGAUUACACCUGACUCCUCUUCUGCACAGAGUAGCUACAACCCGAGCCCUCUUUCUGAAUCUCUUCUACCCUUCUCUCGUCUUCUAUAAACCCAUAAAGAAGACAAUCCUUCACAUGCACCCGUGCACUAGGUGCACUCAAAGCAUAAUUAAAUAACUCUCUCUCUCUCUUUUUCUCUCUCUGGUACGGCACCCAAGAGGCCUUUUCUCUCUCUCCCGUACUCACCUCAAAAAGCAAACCCACAAAGAGCUAUUUAUAAGGCUCCACCAAAACGUACCCCAAUCCUAAUAUAUUUAGGAUUUCUACUCCAAUUAAUAUCUAAAUCUAUCUUAAUCAAUCUCUAAUAGAUUUAAAUAUUAAUCCUAAUCUAGUUAGGUUUAUCCUCUAAUUAAUAUUUAAAUCUUAAUUUAUCUCAAACAGAUUUAAAUAUUAAUUCUUAUCCAAAUAGGAUUUAACUACAAAUCUAACCAAAUCCUAACAAGGAGGUGCGGCGGAACGGCGCGGAGAAGAUGAGGAGCACUUGGAGGGCCAGACUGGCCUGCACGGCCACCCGGAUCUCCCAGUUCGUGUCCUGUUGCGGAACUGGUGGCUCAAACCCCAUCCUUAUCUCUCUCUCUUUUUAUAUACCGUGCACUUGCACUUAACAGUGAGCCGAAUUAUGUAUACAUUGAGCAGUCGAAUAGUGUUGGUUGCUUCUUUUGCUUAAGUUGAUGACGAUAAUCUGCAGUUGAAAUUGCAAUAUCGUAAGCACAGUUUAAAAAAAAAAAGAAAAAAAAGAAAAAAAAAAAAAAAAAAAAAAAAAAAAAGCGGGUAAUGAUAAAACAGAAGCACCUAUAAAUUUGAAGAACUAAUUUAUUAUUAUGUGAGAAAUUAAUGCUAAGUUUACAAUUGAAAAAGAAUUAUAGAAUAGCAACUCUCAGUCCACAAAUUGCAAUCUUAUCCUUAGGAUUUAAUUUUCUUUUUGAAUUUUAGUAAUUUACCAAAUGUAGAGCUAGCAUAUAUUGCUCUUUGUAACAGAAUAUGGAAUCUUAAAAAUGAGUGGGCUUUAUAAAAAAAAAAAUGGUUGCGUUGACUCUUACUUAAAAAAAAUAGAGAAAUGUCACUGCACACUCAAGUAUUUUGUAUUAAAGAAAAUAAGAAUGUGAUAAAACUAUUCUAAAACUAUUGGCCUUUAGAUAAAAAAAUAUAUAUAAGAUUCAUAUCUACUUUUGAAUGUACAGAUAAUAUUACUUUAAUUAGUAUAUUACUAUAUCUUGUUCAAUUGAGUAUGGUGCUUAUAAAGGAUUUGAAAUUUUUUAUAUUUGGCCAAGUCUACAGAUGAUUUUAAAGAUUUGAAUUUUAUUUGCUAUUUAAUAACAAUUAGGUAGAAAUGCACUUAAUUAAAAAAAAAAAAAACAGGAGAAAGAGAGAGGGAGAGAUUAAGAUCUUGUCACCUAUUCCGUAACACUGGGGCUAUAGC
RNAcentral lists this long non-coding RNA (3859 nucleotides) under Ananas comosus (pineapple). RNAcentral describes it as "long non-coding RNA (ACOM_LNC001184)". The record is from RNAcentral. Lineage: Eukaryota; Viridiplantae; Streptophyta; Magnoliopsida; Poales; Bromeliaceae.